GGCUGCUCUGAAGGUAGUGAGUUAUCUGAAUUGAUUGGUCACAAUCAGUUACAGGUUAAACUUGUUCUACUCUUUCCUCCCUUCUCACUACUGUACUUGACUAGUCUUUA
This 110-nucleotide Y RNA is filed under the name Microcebus murinus (gray mouse lemur). Its description in RNAcentral is "Y RNA (ENSMICG00000041820.1)". It matches the Rfam family "Y RNA". Rfam says of the family: Y RNAs are components of the Ro ribonucleoprotein particle (Ro RNP), in association with Ro60 and La proteins. The Y RNAs and Ro60 and La proteins are well conserved, but the function of the Ro RNP is not known. Lineage: Eukaryota; Metazoa; Chordata; Mammalia; Primates; Cheirogaleidae. The record is from Rfam by way of RNAcentral.